GCAGCUGUGGCCGAGUGGUUAAGGCGAUGGACUAGAAAUCUAUUGGAGUCUCCCCGCGUAGGUUCGAAUCCUACCGGCUGCG
This 82-nucleotide transfer RNA is filed under the name Trichonephila clavata. It matches the Rfam family "tRNA". Rfam says of the family: Transfer RNA (tRNA) molecules are approximately 80 nucleotides in length. Their secondary structure includes four short double-helical elements and three loops (D, anti-codon, and T loops). Further hydrogen bonds mediate the characteristic L-shaped molecular structure. tRNAs have two regions of fundamental functional importance: the anti-codon, which is responsible for specific mRNA codon recognition, and the 3' end, to which the tRNAs corresponding amino acid is attached (by aminoacyl-tRNA synthetases). tRNAs cope with the degeneracy of the genetic code in two manners: having more than one tRNA (with a specific anti-codon) for a particular amino acid; and 'wobble' base-pairing, i.e. permitting non-standard base-pairing at the 3rd anti-codon position. The record is from Rfam by way of RNAcentral. Lineage: Eukaryota; Metazoa; Arthropoda; Arachnida; Araneae; Nephilidae.